Molecule: long non-coding RNA, 693 nt
Organism: Mauremys reevesii (Reeves's turtle)
Lineage: Eukaryota; Metazoa; Chordata; Testudines; Geoemydidae
Exons: 3
Source: RefSeq, a predicted model, not a curated record
CAGAGCCCCCAGGGCCCCCAGCCACGUCCCUCCCCCCCCGCCCCGAUCCACGCGCAGGGCGGGGCAGCCCUUCGGGCGGACGGACGGACCCAGGGACCGGCCCAGGCAGGGAUGGCCUUAGCAGACACCCUGAAAGGGCUGCUAGCCUCGUUGGAACACCACUCUGCCUGCAGAAGUCCCAGCUCCAGGGGUGCCAGGCAUAGACUGCAGAACUCAACACCGAUGAAUCUACUCAUGGAUCAUUCCAAAUGGAGCUGGACAGUCAGUACAGAAGCCAAGACUCCUCUGUGUGGGAUACAGCAUCCAGUCACUCCCCUCGGAUCAUCAGUCAAUAAGGAGGGCCUCACAGACCAUCAAGACUUUGGUUUAUUAAUUUAUGUACAGCCUGACCUACAAACUCAUGAUUCUCUGAAGGGGAGCCAGGACACGCCAGAACCAGUCAGUGGAUACACAAGUUGAGCGCCCUAGGAAAUGCUGCAUCCAGGAUCAAGUCUCUCCAGGUUGGUUAUGGGCAGGAGGUCACAUCCUACUUCUUGAUCAUUACUGUAUUCCUUACAGGGAGGUGCUCAGCUAUCUUCUAUAAACAACCUUUACUUAACCAAACCAAAAACUAUAAACUAUUCAGAGAGAAACCUAUUCAUGUCCUCUUGACUAUUAAAAAUCCAAUUUAUCAUUAAUUCAGACAAUUUUAUA